Molecule: ribosomal RNA, 253 nt
Filed under: uncultured bacterium
Lineage: Bacteria
Description: partial 16S ribosomal RNA
Rfam family: Bacterial small subunit ribosomal RNA
Source: RNAcentral
UACGAAGGGGGCAAGCGUUGUUCGGAAUUACUGGGCGUAAAGGGCUUGUAGGCGGCCAACUAAGUCAUACGUGAAAUCCCUCGGCUUAACCGGGGAACUGCGUCUGAUACUGGAUGGCUUGAGAUUGGGAGAGGGAUGCGGAAUUCCAGGUGUAGCGGUGAAAUGCGUAGAUAUCUGGAGGAACACCGGUGGCGAAGGCGGCAUCCUGGACCAACACUGACGCUGAGGAGCGAAAGCGUGGGGAGCGAUCCGG